AUUAACGCUAGCGGCAGGCAUAAUACAUGCAAGUUGAACGGCAGCACAGGUAGCAAUACUGGGUGGCGAGUGGCGCACGGGUGCGUAACACGUAUGCAACCUACCCUAUACAGGCGAAUAACCUUUAGAAAUGAGGGCUAAUACGCCGUAGUAUUACAGAUGGGCAUCUAUUUGUAAUUAAAGAUUUAUCGGUAUAGGAUGGGCAUGCGUCCCAUUAGUAGUUGGUAAGGUAACGGCUUACCAAGACGAUGAUG
Molecule: ribosomal RNA, 254 nt
Filed under: uncultured bacterium
Lineage: Bacteria
Description: partial 16S ribosomal RNA
Rfam family: Bacterial small subunit ribosomal RNA
Source: RNAcentral